Molecule: ribosomal RNA, 195 nt
Filed under: Pedobacter sp.
Lineage: Bacteria; Pseudomonadati; Bacteroidota; Sphingobacteriia; Sphingobacteriales; Sphingobacteriaceae
Description: partial 23S ribosomal RNA
Rfam family: Bacterial large subunit ribosomal RNA
Source: RNAcentral
CAGUUGUUCCGCCAGGAGCACCGCUGAGUAGCUACGUUUGGAAGAGAUAAGCACUGAAAGCAUAUAAGUGCGAAACUCGCCUCAAGAUGAGACAUCUUUUAAGGGUCGUUGGAGAUGACGACGUUGAUAGGCUACAGGUGUAAAGUUGGUAACAGCAUAGCCGAGUAGUACUAAUUACCCGUAGAUUUAUAGCCU